GCCGGUGUAACUCAGAGGUAGAGUAGUCGCUUCGUAAGCGACCUGUCGUCGGUUCGAUUCCGACCACCGGCU
This 72-nucleotide transfer RNA is filed under the name Chloroflexota bacterium. RNAcentral's name for it is "Chloroflexi bacterium tRNA-Thr". It matches the Rfam family "tRNA". From Rfam's summary of the family: Transfer RNA (tRNA) molecules are approximately 80 nucleotides in length. Their secondary structure includes four short double-helical elements and three loops (D, anti-codon, and T loops). Further hydrogen bonds mediate the characteristic L-shaped molecular structure. tRNAs have two regions of fundamental functional importance: the anti-codon, which is responsible for specific mRNA codon recognition, and the 3' end, to which the tRNAs corresponding amino acid is attached (by aminoacyl-tRNA synthetases). tRNAs cope with the degeneracy of the genetic code in two manners: having more than one tRNA (with a specific anti-codon) for a particular amino acid; and 'wobble' base-pairing, i.e. permitting non-standard base-pairing at the 3rd anti-codon position. Lineage: Bacteria; Bacillati; Chloroflexota. The record is from RNAcentral.